This 514-nucleotide ribosomal RNA is filed under the name uncultured Myroides sp. RNAcentral describes it as "partial 16S ribosomal RNA". The record is from RNAcentral. Lineage: Bacteria; Pseudomonadati; Bacteroidota; Flavobacteriia; Flavobacteriales; Flavobacteriaceae.
CACGGAGUUAGCCGAUCCUUAUUCUUACGGUACCGUCAAAUAAUUACACGUAAUUACAUUUCUUCCCGUACAAAAGCAGUUUACAAUCCAUAGGACCGUCAUCCUGCACGCGGCAUGGCUGGUUCAGGGUUGCCUCCAUUGACCAAUAUUCCUCACUGCUGCCUCCCGUAGGAGUCUGGUCCGUGUCUCAGUACCAGUGUGGGGGAUCUCCCUCUCAGGACCCCUAAUCAUCGUAGCCUUGGUAUGCCGUUACCACACCAACUAGCUAAUGAUACGCAUGCCCAUCUUUUACCGAUAAAUCUUUAUUAUACAAACGAUGCCAUUCAUAUAAACCAUGGAGCAUUAAUCCGAAAUUUCUCCGGGCUAUUCCCCUGUAAAACGGUAGGUUGCAUACGCGUUACUCACCCAUCCGCCGGUCUCUAGAAAGCAAGCUCUCUAUACCCCUCGACCUUGCAUGUGUUAGGCCUGCCGCUAGCGUUCAUCCUUGAGCCGAGGACGUACAAACUCCUCUACG